GAUGAACGCUAGCGGCAGGCCUAAUACAUGCAAGUCGAACGGGAUCCAGAUCAAAGCUUGCUUUGGUCUGGUGAGAGUGGCGCACGGGUGCGUAACGCGUGAGCAACCUACCCUUGUCAGGGGGAUAGCCCGGCGAAAGUCGGAUUAAUACCGCAUGACAUCAUUGAGAGGCAUCUUUCGAUGAUCAAAGAUUUAUCGGACAAGGAUGGGCUCGCGUGACAUUAGCUAGUUGGUAAGGUAACGGCUUACCAAGGCUGCGAUGUCUAGGGGCUCUGAGAGGAGAAUCCCCCACACUGGUACUGAGGCACGGACCAGACUCCUACGGGAGGCAGCAGUAAGGAAUAUUGGUCAAUGGACGGAAGUCUGAACCAGCCAUGCCGCGUGCAGGAAGACGGCCCUAUGGGUUGUAAACUGCUUUUAUACGGGAACAAACGUCGGUACGUGUACCGGUCUGAGUGUACCGUAAGAAUAAGGAUCGGCUAACUCCGUG
Molecule: ribosomal RNA, 490 nt
Filed under: uncultured bacterium
Lineage: Bacteria
Description: partial 16S ribosomal RNA
Rfam family: Bacterial small subunit ribosomal RNA
Source: RNAcentral